This 72-nucleotide transfer RNA is filed under the name Loxodonta africana (African savanna elephant). RNAcentral describes it as "tRNA-Cys (GCA) (tRNA-Cys-GCA-18-1)". It matches the Rfam family "tRNA". Rfam says of the family: Transfer RNA (tRNA) molecules are approximately 80 nucleotides in length. Lineage: Eukaryota; Metazoa; Chordata; Mammalia; Proboscidea; Elephantidae. The record is from Rfam by way of RNAcentral.
GGGGGCAUAGCUCUGUGGUAAAGCAUUUGACUGCAGAUCAAGAGGUCCCUGGUUCAAAUCCAGGUGCCCCCG